GGGGAAUAUUGCGCAAUGGGCGAAAGCCUGACGCAGCGACGCCGCGUGGGGGAUGACGGCCUUCGGGUUGUAAACCUCUUUCGCCAGGGACGAAGCUUUUGUGACGGUACCUGGAGAAGAAGCACCGGCCAACUACGUGCCAGCAGCCGCGGUAACACGUAGGGUGCGAGCGUUGUCCGGAAUUAUUGGGCGUAAAGAGCUCGUAGGCGGUGUGUCGCGUCGGCCGUGAAAACUUGGGGCUUAACUCUGAGCGUGCGGUCGAUACGGGCAUCACUUGAGUUCGGCAGGGGAGACUGGAAUUCCUGGUGUAGCGGUGAAAUGCGCAGAUAUCAGGAGGAACACCGGUGGCGAAGGCGGGUCUCUGGGCCGAUACUGACGCUGAGGAGCGAAAGCAUGGGGAGCGAAC
RNAcentral lists this ribosomal RNA (406 nucleotides) under uncultured bacterium. RNAcentral describes it as "bacterial SSU rRNA". It matches the Rfam family "Bacterial small subunit ribosomal RNA", at positions 356 to 773 of the family's 1533-position model. The record is from RNAcentral.